GAUAAUGCAUUGCCUCAGUAUCAGCCAUCAUAGCAACUGGUUCCUGUCUGAAGCGAGUCAGUACUCCUAACAGAGAGCUAGUCAAGUUUGGCCCUUGCAAAAGCUGACCAUUUAAAGAGGUAGCUGGCGGUGCAGCUUCUUCUUUUGUGGGUGGUAUACCCCAUGAAGAGGAAUAUACCACACUUUACCAUCUUGGCAGUUCAGGUGUGUUGUUGGUACCGCCACUGCAUAUCUUUAAUUAAGCAUGUCAUUCAUGAAACUUGUGUAUUCUUCAUGAAACACAGGAUUCCUCUUCAGCUUGCUCUUGAGGUUUAACACUCGCUGUAUCAAUGGUUGUUUGGCAUUUGGACAUUUGUUUUCUUCAUGGGAAGAUCUAUGUAGAAAUGUCCAUCCAUGACGCAUGCAGAGCGUGACACAGAAUCCAUGAAGUGAUGAGCCUCCUGCGACAUCUCUGAUUUAUCAUCACAGUUGCUUUCUGGAAAGUCAUGAUUAUAUUGCUGUAUGAGUAGUUGUUCCACAUUCUCAACAGAAAUUCUGUUGACUACAGCACACAGCAGUGCACAGUGUGCUGUCAUCCACUGUGGUGUCACUUGGCUCCUUGAGCGGUCCGUUCAAAAUCCAUCCAACAGCAGUUUUUACUGCAUAUGGUCCAUUGUUCUGGCUAUGGAUCACUUUGCAUGGCUCUAAAACGUUAUGCUCUUUGGUUCCUAUGAGAAGUUCCACUUCUUUAUCAAUGAAAGGCAACUUCACUUCACUCAGAUACGGCCAUUUGUCAACAUCUUUUUGCAAUGGAAUGUUAUCUUUUGAAACAGGGAUGCAUUUUUUGUGUGAAGACUUUGGAUAACUCAGUGAAAUUGCUGUUCUCAAGACCACUGACUUCUAAACGUGUGAGGAUGUAACUUUGCACUCUCCUUUUGGAAUUGAUGGUGCUCACCAUAAGGGCUGAAUGUGAUGUUUGAAGACCAGCAGAGAACCUUACUGUGGAAAGCAGGUUUCAAAGGAAGGUCGAAGCAGGAGACCAGCCGUGUGGUAGAGCUCUACCACGAGUUCCAUAGGAUCACCAAUGAAAACCUGCCAUCUUCCUUUUUUCCCCCGCGUUGGAUAAAUACACAUCACAGCUUCUAAAAUUGUACAAAAAGAAGACGACUGGAAGGUUUGGAGAGAAGCUGCAGCAUGUUGUGACAGCAUACGAAGAACAGGACAAGAACAACAUCACUGCAGCCAGGACAGCAGCCCUUGCCAGCCUACCACCGUACCUGAAAGAGGAUUCGUCAGACAUAUUCAAGACUUGCACGGUAAUUCUUCAUUCUCCUGCAUCAAAACUUGAAACUGAAACAUCACUGAACAGAGUUAAUGGAAACUGCCUUAUACGGUGUGCCUAAUUGGCUUCCUGUUGAGCAGUUCCCUUGCUUAGAUUAUUUUUUAUUGUGAAG
Molecule: long non-coding RNA, 1433 nt
Organism: Acanthopagrus latus (yellowfin seabream)
Lineage: Eukaryota; Metazoa; Chordata; Actinopteri; Spariformes; Sparidae
Exons: 5
Source: RefSeq, a predicted model, not a curated record